Molecule: ribosomal RNA, 488 nt
Filed under: uncultured bacterium
Lineage: Bacteria
Description: bacterial SSU rRNA
Rfam family: Bacterial small subunit ribosomal RNA
Source: RNAcentral
AUUGAACGCUGGCGGCAUGCUUUACACAUGCAAGUCGAACGGCAGCGCGGACUUCGGUCUGGCGGCGAGUGGCGAACGGGUGAGUAAUAUAUCGGAACGUACCCAAGAGUGGGGGAUAACGUAGCGAAAGUUACGCUAAUACCGCAUACGAUCUAAGGAUGAAAGCAGGGGAUCGCAAGACCUUGUGCUCCUGGAGCGGCCGAUAUCUGAUUAGCUAGUUGGUGAGGUAAUGGCUCACCAAGGCUACGAUCGAUAGGGGGUCUGAGAGGAUGAUCCCCCACACUGGUACUGAGAUACGGACCAGACUCCUACGGGAGGCAGCAGUAGGGAAUAUUGGUCAAUGGGCGCAAGCCUGAACCAGCCAUGCCGCGUGCAGGAAGAAGGCCCUCUGGGUUGUAAACUGCUUUUGAUAGGGAACAAAUGCCACUUGCGAGUGGAGCUGAGUGUACCUAUAGAAUAAGCACCGGCUAACUCCGUGCCAGCAGCCG